This 491-nucleotide ribosomal RNA is filed under the name uncultured bacterium. RNAcentral describes it as "partial 16S ribosomal RNA". It matches the Rfam family "Bacterial small subunit ribosomal RNA", at positions 29 to 507 of the family's 1533-position model. The record is from RNAcentral.
AGUGAACGCUGGCGGUAGGCCUAACACAUGCAAGUCGAACGGCGGCACAGUAAGAGCUUGCUCUUACGGGUGGCGAGUGGCGGACGGGUGAGGAAUACAUCGGAAUCUACUUUUUCGUGGGGGCUAACGUCGGGAAACUUACGCUCAUACCGCAUACGACCUACGGGUGAAAGCAGGGGAUCUUCGGACCUUUCGCGAUUGAAUGAGCCGAUGUGGGCUUAGCUGGUUGGCUGGUAAAGGCCCACCAAGGCGACCACCCGUACCUGGUUACAGAGCAUGAUCAGCCAGACUGGAACUGAGAAACGGCCCAGACUCCGACGGGAGGCAGCGGUGGGGAAUAUUGGACAAUGGGGGCAAGCCUGAUCCAGCCAUACCGCGUGGGUGAAGAAGGCCUUCGGGUGGUAAAGCCCUUUUGUUGGGAAAGAAAAGCAGCAGGUUAAUACCCCGCUGUUCUGACGGUACCCAAAGAAUAAGCACCGGCUAACUUCGUG